Molecule: long non-coding RNA, 649 nt
Filed under: Pelobates cultripes (western spadefoot toad)
Lineage: Eukaryota; Metazoa; Chordata; Amphibia; Anura; Pelobatidae
Source: RNAcentral
AACUUGUAGUAUUCCAGUAUGUCACAUGUUGUAUGUGCUUUAAAUUGUAUGUAUUCUGUAAAUUAUUGUAUGGGGUUGCUGAGAUUUUAUUGCUUGUGACCCAAACUGUGAAGAAGUGGGUUUGAAAUUUUGGUCAUGGAAUGUAGGAUCAGAAAACCAUGGACAAAGGUUUUAACCUGUGUUGAUAUGACUUUUGGAAACUCAAAUUGACCGGUCAAAAUUUUGCCAUGCCUUUAACAUGGAGUAGUAUAAAUAUUUUGAGUCUUUGAGAGUUCUGACAAAUGCAGGUGAUACCAUGUCUGUGUAAUCUGGUCCAAAUGUUCUAUAAGCGUAUAAGAGAGAAAUUCCAUUGACAGGGUACAUAUGUUGCAACUGGUUAAUGCAAGUGUUAUACAAAUGUUUAAGUCAAACGUGUUAUAUGGCCGUACGGGAUCCCUUCUUUAAAAAAGAAAAAAUAAACCCUUUGGUACCAGAAAUCUUAAAUAAAUCCAAUACAAACUAAAAUUGGUAUACCUUACAAUAAUAUGUUCUGAAUACAGCUGUUAGAAGUUUAUUCUGUGUGAAUGAUGAUUGUCAUAAAUGUUUGUUUUGGUUACUCAUUUUGAAGUGCGCAGUUUAAUUGUCAUGUAUGUUAAUGGGUAUUUUGCUG